UACGUAGGUCCCGAGCGUUAUCCGGAAUUAUUGGGCGUAAAGGGCGCGCAGGUGGUUAUGUAAGUCUGAUGUGAAAUUUCUGGGCUCAACCCAAAAAGGUCAUUGGAAACUGCAUAACUUGAGAGCAGGAGAGGUAAGUGGAAUUCCUAGUGUAGCGGUGAAAUGCGUAGAGAUUAGGAGGAACACCAGUGGCGAAGGCGGCUUACUGGACUGCAUCUGACACUGAGGCGCGAAAGCGUGGGUAGCAAACAGG
RNAcentral lists this ribosomal RNA (253 nucleotides) under uncultured bacterium. Its description in RNAcentral is "partial 16S ribosomal RNA". It matches the Rfam family "Bacterial small subunit ribosomal RNA", at positions 524 to 776 of the family's 1533-position model. The record is from RNAcentral.